RNAcentral lists this ribosomal RNA (1150 nucleotides) under Enterococcus sp. RNAcentral describes it as "bacterial SSU rRNA". It matches the Rfam family "Bacterial small subunit ribosomal RNA", at positions 50 to 1178 of the family's 1533-position model. Lineage: Bacteria; Bacillati; Bacillota; Bacilli; Lactobacillales; Enterococcaceae. The record is from RNAcentral.
UAUACAUGCAGUCGAACGCUUCUUUCCUCCCGAGUGCUUGCACUCAAUUGGAAAGAGGAGUGGCGGACGGGUGAGUAACACGUGGGUAACCUACCCAUCAGAGGGGGAUAACACUUGGAAACAGGUGCUAAUACCGCAUAACAGUUUAUGCCGCAUGGCAUAAGAGUGAAAGGCGCUUUCGGGUGUCGCUGAUGGAUGGACCCGCGGUGCAUUAGCUAGUUGGUGAGGUAACGGCUCACCAAGGCCACGAUGCAUAGCCGACCUGAGAGGGUGAUCGGCCACACUGGGACUGAGACACGGCCCAGACUCCUACGGGAGGCAGCAGUAGGGAAUCUUCGGCAAUGGACGAAAGUCUGACCGAGCAACGCCGCGUGAGUGAAGAAGGUUUUCGGAUCGUAAAACUCUGUUGUUAGAGAAGAACAAGGACGUUAGUAACUGAACGUCCCCUGACGGUAUCUAACCAGAAAGCCACGGCUAACUACGUGCCAGCAGCCGCGGUAAUACGUAGGUGGCAAGCGUUGUCCGGAUUUAUUGGGCGUAAAGCGAGCGCAGGCGGUUUCUUAAGUCUGAUGUGAAAGCCCCCGGCUCAACCGGGGAGGGUCAUUGGAAACUGGGAGACUUGAGUGCAGAAGAGGAGAGUGGAAUUCCAUGUGUAGCGGUGAAAUGCGUAGAUAUAUGGAGGAACACCAGUGGCGAAGGCGGCUCUCUGGUCUGUAACUGACGCUGAGGCUCGAAAGCGUGGGGAGCAAACAGGAUUAGAUACCCUGGUAGUCCACGCCGUAAACGAUGAGUGCUAAGUGUUGGAGGGUUUCCGCCCUUCAGUGCUGCAGCAAACGCAUUAAGCACUCCGCCUGGGGAGUACGACCGCAAGGUUGAAACUCAAAGGAAUUGACGGGGGCCCGCACAAGCGGUGGAGCAUGUGGUUUAAUUCAAAGCAACGCGAAGAACCUUACCAGGUCUUGACAUCCUUUGACCACUCUAGAGAUAGAGCUUUCCCUUCGGGGACAAGUGACAGGUGGUGCAUGGUUGUCCUCACUCGUGUCGUGAGAUGUUGGGUUAAGUCCCGCAACGAGCGCAACCCUUAUUGUUAGUUGCCAUCAUUUAUUUGGGCACUCUACCAGACUGCCGUGACAACCGGAGAAAAGUUGGG